CAGAACCAAGAGAUCCGUUGUUGAAAGUUGUAACUAUUAUGUUUUUUCAGACGCUGAUUUCAAUUACAAAGGGUUUAAGUUUGUCCAAUCGGCGGGCGGACCCGCCGAGGAAACGAAGGUACUCAAAAGACAUGGGUAAGAGAUGGUAGGCAAAGCCUACAACUCUAGGUAAUGAUCCUU
RNAcentral lists this unclassified non-coding RNA (180 nucleotides) under uncultured Phoma. Its description in RNAcentral is "sequence contains ITS1". The record is from RNAcentral. Lineage: Eukaryota; Fungi; Ascomycota.